Molecule: ribosomal RNA, 373 nt
Filed under: uncultured organism
Description: partial 16S ribosomal RNA
Rfam family: Bacterial small subunit ribosomal RNA
Source: RNAcentral
GUAGGUGGCAAGCGUUAUCCGGAAUUAUUGGGCGUAAAGCGCGCGCAGGCGGUUUCUUAAGUCUGAUGUGAAAGCCCACGGCUCAACCGUGGAGGGUCAUUGGAAACUGGGGAACUUGAGUGCAGAAGAGAAAAGCGGAAUUCCACGUGUAGCGGUGAAAUGCGUAGAGAUGUGGAGGAACACCAGUGGCGAAGGCGGCUUUUUAGGUCUGUAACUGACGCUGAGGCGCGAAAGCGUGGGGAGCAAACAGGGAUUAGAUACCCUGGUAGUCCACGCCGUAAACGAUGAGUGCUAAGUGUUAGAGGGUUUCCGCCCCUCUAGUGCUGCAGCUAACGCAUUAAGCACUCCGCCUGGGAGUACGGUCGCAAGACUG